GGACUACUGGGGUUUCUAAUCCUGUUUGCUCCCCUAGCUUUCGCAGUUGAGUGUCAGUAAUGGUCCAGGUACCUGCUUUCGCCAUUGGUGUUCCUCCCGAUCUCUGCGCAUUUCACCGCUACUCCGGGAAUUCCAGUACCCUCUCCCAUACUCAAGCCUGACAGUUUCUGUUGACCUCUCCCGGUUAAGCCGGGAGCUUUCACAACAGACUUGUCAAACCACCUACCUGCCCUUUACGCCUAGUAAUUCCGAGUAACGCUUGCCACCUUCGUAUUACCGCGGCUGCUGGCAC
This 292-nucleotide ribosomal RNA is filed under the name uncultured bacterium. Its description in RNAcentral is "partial 16S ribosomal RNA". The record is from RNAcentral.